This 206-nucleotide long non-coding RNA is filed under the name Polistes fuscatus (common paper wasp). RNAcentral's name for it is "uncharacterized LOC122515625". Lineage: Eukaryota; Metazoa; Arthropoda; Insecta; Hymenoptera; Vespidae. The record is from RNAcentral.
AGUACAUCGCACACCUGCAUCCUUUGCGAACGAGUCGAACACCCGUUGUACCGCUGUCCUAAAUAUAACGACAUGACGAUAACCAACAAAUGGGAGUGGCAAACCAUUUCCAAUGAUACUUAAAGUGAGACGACAGCGGGAAUUUCCUGGAUGCACACUCUACAACCGAUAAGGAGACUCGAAUCGAAACCGUAAAAACCAUACGA